RNAcentral lists this transfer RNA (71 nucleotides) under Loxodonta africana (African savanna elephant). It matches the Rfam family "tRNA". From Rfam's summary of the family: Transfer RNA (tRNA) molecules are approximately 80 nucleotides in length. Their secondary structure includes four short double-helical elements and three loops (D, anti-codon, and T loops). Lineage: Eukaryota; Metazoa; Chordata; Mammalia; Proboscidea; Elephantidae. The record is from Rfam by way of RNAcentral.
GCAACGAUGGUUCAGUGGUAGAAUUCUCACCUUCCAUGCGAGAGACCUAGGUUUGAUUCCCGGCCAAUGCA